This is a non-coding RNA of Agelaius phoeniceus (red-winged blackbird), 3077 nucleotides long. NCBI's taxonomy places the organism in Eukaryota, Metazoa, Chordata, Aves, Passeriformes, Icteridae. The record is from RefSeq and is a predicted model, not a curated record.
CGGUGCCGCCCGGCCGUGCUCUCAGCUGGGCUGCCCCUAGCACUGCGACAGCCUUCAGGGUUCGUGUGUAAAAUGCAGGAUAAGGCAGAACCACCUUGUUCAUGUGGCAGAGGGUUGGUGCACAUGCUUAUGUUACCCGUACAUCUUUUUUGGAGGGUUCAGCUACUGGCAUCGUGGCAUUGCUCCACAGCAGAAGACUUAAAAAAGUGUGAUGGAGAGGAGAUUUUCAUUGGUCCCAAGUACAUUGUACAUUAAGCACAUCAUGGAAGGACCAUCACAAGUAGAAGAAUAUUUGGUACACACAAGUGGAUUUUCCUGAAAGCUGUACUGGCGUGAGCAGUUUCUAGCAUUGACAAUGUGGCACAUCCUGAAGAAAGCUUUCCUUGUAACAGGAAAUAAAACAGAGGAAAAGCCUGUUUUAUAGAAAACAAGUAGGAACAAGUGCUUUUGGCUUAUUCAGUGAUGAAUUGGAGCACUUUGUUAGAACUGCCUGACAAAUAUGGAUCAUGUAACCAGAAGGAAGUGUAACACCUGAAGAGAUAUUGUGGCUUGGAAUGAGAUGCCAUGCUUUUAAAAUCCUGCUAAAACAGUUGCCAUUUUGUUCAGUAGAUACUGUCUCUGCAUAUUUAAAACACCGUCUUUCCAAAAUACUGAGCUGUCUUCUGUAGGAAGUGUAGCAGUAAUAUUAGGGAAAGGAGUUCAUGGAAAACCCCUUGAUUUUUUUACCCUUUUUAAAAUAUCAAAUGGGUACACAGUCUUGCAGAUAUUAGAGAUCUGUGAUAACUUGGGAGUGGAGCUCACAGGCAUGCCCUGUAAAGACAGGGUGAAAGCAAAGAAAAAGGCAAUGUCUACAGCUUGCAUCACUGUAUCUAGUGAGGGAGUGAGGAGUUGAGGUUUUAUGGACUGCCCUUUCAGCAGGAGAAGACUACAACCACAACAGUGGAACUGCCUUUUGAGGAAUAUACUGGCAACAGUACCGCUUGCUCUCUGGGGGAAGGAGGUUGGUAGUGGGAGAAGAGAGAUACAUACAUUGGAACUUGGGCUUUUGUCUUGGUUUGAAAAGACAGGUGUCUGCUAAGGAGGGCAGGAGUCUCCCUUGAAAUGGAAAUUAAGGGGCUUUCAGGCAAAGAUAUGGGAGUAGGAAUAAGAGUUCUUUAUUAGGAAAAAUUAAAAAUGUAGAUGCAGUAAUACAGACCAAUGCUGAACAGCUGCAGCACCUAGCUAGCCAAAGGCAUCUCUGGGGUGAAAAACGCCACGGCUGCCGCCUUUGGUCCAGAUGAAGCCAGGCAGGACACACCCCGAAACAUUCGGGGCUUAAUAUUUAAUAUAGUGGCGCCAAAUGUGGGCGUUUUUCACCCCAGAGAUGCCUUUGGCUAGCUAGGUGCUGCAGCUGGGCGCUCAGAACAAGUCCAGGCAAAAUAGGAACUCAGUUUACCUUUGGAAAAGGUUCAGGCGGUGAAGAGAAAAGGAGCGGGUUCUGCCGUGUAGCUUAGAUCCAGAGUUUAUCGUAGCAUGGUAGACCUGAAUGUGGUAUCAGCUCCAGCCAGACAGGCAGAGACAGAACCACGGCAGAGACCCCGACCACAUGGUCUCGUGUCCUUUUUAAGCCCCGGGGACAGGGCGAGGGGACGGACAGGUGAGGGCCAACCAGGUGUGAGCAGGGGAAGGGUCAGGGGAUGUGGACACUAGGACAAACCAAUGAGCCCAGACCUGGGGGGCAUCUGCCAAUCACACGACGCCUUGCUGGAAGGUACCAGGCAGGAGGGCACAGGGGGAGGGGGAAAGGUUGGCAUCCUUGAGGGGGAUGGGAUAGGUGAGACAGGAAAUAGCGACACUGCAACACUGAACGAGUCAGAAUACAGCCUGACAACCUUGUUUGGUCAGGGUGUUGGCAGCAGUCUGAUUAAAUGGUGGCUGCAGUGCUCCUGGAGUAGCAAGUAUGGUUCUGUUGGAGCAGUGAUCCUGUAGAAGGCUACUGUUUUCCUCCGAAGGUCCAGUGGUGGUGUAGAUGGGCAUGGUCUUCCUCUGGGAAUCCAGUGGGGAAGAAAGCUGCUCCUCUGGGAAUCCAGUGGGAGAAGGCUGACUGCGGUGUUCCAAAUCUCAGAUUAUAUCCAGGUAGAAAUGCUUGGCUCCUCCCUCUGGGUGGAGCAUCUUGCAAUGGGAUGAUGUCAUUUUAUCAGUCAUGCAGUGAGACCCAAAGGCCCAUUAACAGAUAAUGUCUUCCUGGAGGGAGGAUUGGUUGUGGAAGAGAUAAAGAAAACUGCCCAGUUAACAGAACAUAACUGUCCCAGGUCUAACAGAUGGCAAAUAGAAUACACACCCUCAGCUACAUCUUCUAACCUAAGAUGGCUUUGAAAAGUCACUUGACAAGAGCUGGUGCUGUAAUGACAGUAGCAGCAGAUUUGCUCUUUUCAGCAAGCUGUCCCUUCCACAGAGAAUUACAGGUUCAUAAUUUGGUCACCAAGUAAAUGUAAAGACAACUCAUGGUGUACAUCAGGUGAAUUUGGCCUUGAAGCAUGACUUUCAAGCCUCAUUGAAAGGAAUUCUUUAUAAUAGCAGAAAAAUGACAAUAGCAUAAUUAAAAAUUCAUAGACCUAUUACUGGAUCAUUUUGAAAUUGUCAAAAAUAUAUAGACCCUAUAGCUCAUGGGGUUUACCUGGUCAUCAAUGACAAAUUCUAUGUAAAAUCCAUUUUCUGUCAAAGUAGUAUGAAGUAUAAACACUACCAGGAACAGCAUAUAAAGCAUUGGAAAUGUCAAAACUAACUAUCCAUCAUGCUACUGAAGUGGAUGCUAAGGAUCUGACUGAACUCCAGGAGUGCAUUGGUUCGCUGAGCAUCUCUUAUGGUUUGCUUAUUAAGCACCGACCAGCUACUUUGGCUAAAGGCUGCUCCUUUUGAGCAAGGAAUAGUAAAUCAGUCUAUUGAAUAUCAAAAUCUGCAGAAAUAAACUAGAAAACAGCUUUCUCUUCAUUGCUUUCAAUAUUGUUUCUGUUAAGAAAUGUUACUGAGAAUGGUGCGUUUUUUCAUGUGCCAUGCUUUGUACAUGCUUUUGAAUAAAGAUGAGGAUGUUAAAGUCA